RNAcentral lists this ribosomal RNA (759 nucleotides) under Triticum aestivum (bread wheat). RNAcentral's name for it is "partial small subunit ribosomal RNA". Lineage: Eukaryota; Viridiplantae; Streptophyta; Magnoliopsida; Poales; Poaceae. The record is from RNAcentral.
AUGGGCAAACUCUGUUCUCUUGCAAGUUCACUUCAUGUCCCUCACAACCUUUGUUUGGAGACUACUCACCGAUUGCUUACCCACCUGGGUAAAUCAAAAACGACGUGGAUUGGAAAUUUCUGUGCAACUGAGCCGGAGGACACUUUUCAUGCGUUUUGCAGAUGCCCAAGAGCAGUGGGGCUGUGGCAAGCCAUGGCUGAACAGUGGAGAAUACCAUCGGCAGCAAGCUUCAAGCAAACGGGCACGGAGUGGCUGGCCCAAGCCCUCUGUGAUUUACCGGAGACGGAGAGGAUGGAGUUGAUGAUGACGCUUUGGCGCUGCUGGCGUGUCCGGAACGACCUGACGCAUAACAAGCCCGCCCCACCAGUGGUCGCAUCCCGGCGCUUCUUACUCAGCUAUGUGGAUUCCUUGAUUGGCCUUCAAAAUGUCCCCAACGCUGACCCAAUGAAGGGCAAGCAGGUGGUUGAUGUGGCGCAGCCAAGAACGCCAAUAUUGCAUGCUCCUGUACAGGUCAGAUCAACGACGAAGUGGGUGCUGCUGCCGGCUGGAUGGACGAAGUUAAAUGUUGACGGUUCCUUCUGCCCACGCACUGGAUCUCGGGGGGCGCAGGAAUGGUGCUCCGGGACAGCUCGGGAGCGAUCAUCUUCUCCUCCUGUAGGCAGUUACGUGUGUGUUCGGACGCGCUGGAAGCAGAACUGUCGGCAUGCAUGGAGGGCGUCAACCUCGCCAUACAAUGGACGCAACUACCCAUUGAGAUAG